GACGAACGCUGGCGGCGUGCUUAACACAUGCAAGUCGAACGGAAAGGCCCUGCUUUUGUGGGGUGCUCGAGUGGCGAACGGGUGAGUAACACGUGAGUAACCUGCCCUUGACUUUGGGAUAACUUCAGGAAACUGGGGCUAAUACCGGAUAGGAGCUCCUGCUGCAUGGUGGGGGUUGGAAAGUUUCGGCGGUUGGGGAUGGACUCGCGGCUUAUCAGCUUGUUGGUGGGGUAGUGGCUUACCAAGGCUUUGACGGGUAGCCGGCCUGAGAGGGUGACCGGCCACAUUGGGACUGAGAUACGGCCCAGACUCCUACGGGAGGCAGCAGUGGGGAAUAUUGCACAAUGGGCGGAAGCCUGAUGCAACAACGCCGCGUGCGGGAUGACGGCCUUCGGGUUGUAAACCGCUUUCGCCUGUGACGAAGCGUGAGUGACGGUAAUGGGUAAAGAAGCACCGGCUAACUACGUGCCAGCAGCCGCGGUGAUACGUAGGGUGCGAGCGUUGUCCGGAUUUAUUGGGCGUAAAGGGCUCGUAGGUGGUUGAUCGCGUCGGAAGUGUAAUCUUGGGGCUUAACCCUGAGCGUGCUUUCGAUACGGGUUGACUUGAGGAAGGUAGGGGAGAAUGGAAUUCCUGGUGGAGCGGUGGAAUGCGCAGAUAUCAGGAGGAACACCAGUGGCGAAGGCGGUUCUCUGGGCCUUUCCUGACGCUGAGGAGCGAAAGCGUGGGGAGCGAACAGGCUUAGAUACCCUGGUAGUCCACGCUGUAAACGGUGGGUACUAGGUGUGGGGUCCAUUCCACGGGUUCCGUGCCGUAGCUAACGCUUUAAGUACCCCGCCUGGGGAGUACGGCCGCAAGGCUAAAACUCAAAGGAAUUGACGGGGCCCCGCACAAGCGGCGGAGCAUGCGGAUUAAUUCGAUGCAACGCGUAGAACCUUACCUGGGUUUGACAUGGAUCGGGAGUGCUCAGAGAUGGGUGUGCCUCUUUUGGGGUCGGUUCACAGGUGGUGCAUGGCUGUCGUCAGCUCGUGUCGUGAGAUGUUGGGUUAAGUCCCGCAACGAGCGCAACCCUUGUUCACUGUUGCCAGCACGUUAUGGUGGGGACUCAGUGGAGACCGCCGGGGUCAACUCGGAGGAAGGUGGGGAUGACGUCAAGUCAUCAUGCCCCUUAUGUCCAGGGCUUCACGCAUGCUACAAUGGCUGGUACAGAGAGUGGCGAGCCUGUGAGGGUGAGCGAAUCUCGGAAAGCCGGUCUCAGUUCGGAUUGGGGUCUGCAACUCGACCUCAUGAAGUCGGAGUCGCUAGUAAUCGCAGAUCAGCAACGCUGCGGUGAAUACGUUCCCGGG
RNAcentral lists this ribosomal RNA (1343 nucleotides) under uncultured bacterium. Its description in RNAcentral is "16S ribosomal RNA". It matches the Rfam family "Bacterial small subunit ribosomal RNA", at positions 28 to 1378 of the family's 1533-position model. The record is from RNAcentral.